UACGGAGGAUGCGAGCGUUAUCCGGAUUUAUUGGGUUUAUAGGGUGCGUAGGCGGGAUGCCAAGUCAGCGGUAAAAAUGCGGUGCUCAACGCCGUCGAGCCGUUGAAACUGGCGUUCUUGAGUGGGCGAGAAGUAUGCGGAAUGCGUGGUGUAGCGGUGAAAUGCAUAGAUAUCACGCAGAACUCCGAUUGCGAAGGCAGCAUACCGGCGCCCUACUGACGCUGAGGCACGAAAGCGUGGGUAUCGAACAGG
This 252-nucleotide ribosomal RNA is filed under the name uncultured bacterium. Its description in RNAcentral is "partial 16S ribosomal RNA". It matches the Rfam family "Bacterial small subunit ribosomal RNA", at positions 524 to 776 of the family's 1533-position model. The record is from RNAcentral.